UUUGUCAUUUUUAUGGCUUUCUGAUGUUGUGUCAGUUUUUUUGUUGUUGUUGUUGUUUUUGGAAAGCCCUGUAGAAAAUAAACCUCCUUUGCAGAAGAAUUUUGGGGAUUAGUCUGGGCAAACAGUUUUACUCAGCUCAUUACUGAUACUGUUUCUUUGUCAGUCAUCACRUAUUUGUUUUAACAUUUCUAAUUUUUUUUAUUUGUCAGUUGAAACUUACGUUUUCUCUGAUGGUGACUCAUCCAUCUGUAACUAGAGCAAAAAUUCCAGAAAAGAAAGGAAGUGCUUAUUGCAGCAGUGCCGUCCUCCUCCCAGAAAGUUGAUUCUCCAAGUUUGGACUGCAAUGCUGAAUGUUACUGUGCAUCACCCCUCUGUGAAGACUUAGAAGGCGAAAUAGGUGUUAUCUCUGCAGCCAGGAGUGCCAGGUCCUUUUGCUGGAUGUUUUCCAGCGACCUUUGGAGUCCCUGCAGGGAGUGAAGGGCCCUGUCUCGCGUCACCCGCCGGUGGUUCCACGAGAGUCUGAUGCUGCCCCAUCAGCCUGCCACGUGAUCAGUCUGGCAGUGAAAUCACUCUGCAGCAGGGUCAACAUGCUACAGAUGAGGAUUUCAGCACAAUAUUCCAACCUAUACCCCAAGAUCAUGUCCACAGUACAAACAAGGACUGCUUAGAAAGUAUGAUAAAAACCUAAGCCAUGCUGUUCCAUCUUCAUUUUAAAAAUCCUUUGAGGUCCACAAGUUAUGUCUAAGUCAGUGGUAAGGUUUUUCACUACUUAAGUGGCCUUCCCAAAAUGUAUCAACUCAUCUUUGUAAAUGUGCCUUCUGAAAACCAGAAGAUUGGAGAUUGACUUUUUUUGGUCUUCUGGUCUGUUGCCAAAGUUGUGGUUAUCCCAGUAAACUACCUGUUGCAUUAAAAGCAUAUGUAUGCAUACUGCUACAGGAUGACUGCAUGAAUAUUUUUAAAGUAUUAAUGCUAAAUCAAAACACAUAAUAGACAAAUGGGUAAUUUUUUCCAGUGAUUCAGUGUCACAGUGCAAUGUUCAUGGAGAUAUCCUCUAGGACAGUUACCAGUAUAUGUGUUCAGUCUUAGCUACUUCUUCAGUUAAUAUUGCAAAUGAGUAUUUUUAGGAGAAGCUGAUAAUCAUAACACACUUCUGACAUCAGAGUGAAUUACUCGUAUGAGUGAGGGGAUGCUAUUGCUCCAACUAGCAGGAUUUCCUUAAAUAAUGAUGCUAACCUAGAUGCAGAGUCCAGCUGGCUUUAUGCAUGACAAGUCUAUAGACACCUGUCUAUUACGUCAUGUCAGUAUUUAGUUUUAGGUGCAGUUCUUGCAGCUCUGGGCAUUUACAGUUGUGAGGCUAAGUUCCCUGUACAGCUCAUGUAGCAUCUAAGUUAAAGGCCUGAAUUCAGAGCUAACUGUGUGCAAACACAGGUAGGGAGCUACGUUUCUAGAUUUACCAGCAGGUUAAACCUCCAUUUUUGGAUUAUAUYGUGAAUGAUAUAAUGAGAAGUGGCUAGCUGUAUACAGUACUAGUAGCUGCAAUCUUUGGAGAGUAUUUGGGACCACUGCCCCUAAAAGCAGAGUUGGGACCUGAGUGGGGAGCAUGUUAGCUGCCCUAUUACUGUUCUGCUGUGUAAUUUUUCUGCUAGCUGAGGGUCUGAACCAGUUCCUACACAGAUCAGUGAGAGUCUUCAUGCUCAAUUCAGUGGGGUAGGGGCAGGGUCUGUAAAAAAUAAACUGUAUUUCUGAUAUGUUCCCUUAAGCCA
This 1763-nucleotide long non-coding RNA is filed under the name Dromaius novaehollandiae (emu). Its description in RNAcentral is "lncRNA (ENSDNVG00000011234.1)". The record is from RNAcentral. Lineage: Eukaryota; Metazoa; Chordata; Aves; Casuariiformes; Dromaiidae.